Molecule: ribosomal RNA, 469 nt
Filed under: uncultured soil bacterium
Lineage: Bacteria
Description: bacterial SSU rRNA
Rfam family: Bacterial small subunit ribosomal RNA
Source: RNAcentral
AGGACGAACGCUGGCGGCGUGCUUAACACAUGCAAGUCGAGCGGUAAGGCCUUUCGGGGUACACGAGCGGCGAACGGGUGAGUAACACGUGGGUGAUCUGCCCUGCACUUCGGGAUAAGCCUGGGAAACUGGGUCUAAUACCGGAUAUGACCUCCUAUCGCAUGGUGGGUGGUGGAAAGAUUUAUCGGUGCAGGAUGGGCCCGCGGCCUAUCAGCUUGUUGGUGGGGUAAUGGCCUACCAAGGCGACGACGGGUAGCCGACCUGAGAGGGUGACCGGCCACACUGGGACUGAGACACGGCCCAGACUCCUACGGGAGCGGCAGUAGGGAAUAUUGGACAAUGGGCGCAAGCCUGAUCCAGCAAUGCCGCGUGAGUGAUGAAGGCCUUAGGGUUGUAAAGCUCUUUACCCGAGUAUGAAUAAUGACAGUAUCGGAAGAAUAAGCCCCGACUAACUCCGUGCCAGCAGCCG